ACCUUCUCAUGAGCUCCUCUUAAUCUUUCAAUGAUUUUGUGGAUUCGCACGAGAAGAAGAGUUAAUGCACAGCUAAACGGGGUCAUUCUUGUGGAUGUUGCCUAUGUCUGAUGUGCAACAACA
RNAcentral lists this small nucleolar RNA (123 nucleotides) under Periophthalmus magnuspinnatus. Its description in RNAcentral is "Small nucleolar RNA SNORA75 (ENSPMGG00000004721.1)". The record is from RNAcentral. Lineage: Eukaryota; Metazoa; Chordata; Actinopteri; Gobiiformes; Gobiidae.